This 1721-nucleotide ribosomal RNA is filed under the name Escherichia coli. RNAcentral describes it as "bacterial LSU rRNA". It matches the Rfam family "Bacterial large subunit ribosomal RNA", at positions 1 to 1756 of the family's 2925-position model. Lineage: Bacteria; Pseudomonadati; Pseudomonadota; Gammaproteobacteria; Enterobacterales; Enterobacteriaceae. The record is from RNAcentral.
GGGUUGUGAGGUUAAGCGACUAAGCGUACACGGUGGAUGCCCUGGCAGUCAGAGGCGAUGAAGGACGUGCUAAUCUGCGAUAAGCGUCGGUAAGGUGAUAUGAACCGUUAUAACCGGCGAUUUCCGAAUGGGGAAACCCAGUGUGAUUCGUCACACUAUCAUUAACUGAAUCCAUAGGUUAAUGAGGCGAACCGGGGGAACUGAAACAUCUAAGUACCCCGAGGAAAAGAAAUCAACCGAGAUUCCCCCAGUAGCGGCGAGCGAACGGGGAGCAGCCCAGAGCCUGAAUCAGUGUGUGUGUUAGUGGAAGCGUCUGGAAAGGCGCGCGAUACAGGGUGACAGCCCCGUACACAAAAAUGCACAUGCUGUGAGCUCGAUGAGUAGGGCGGGACACGUGGUAUCCUGUCUGAAUAUGGGGGGACCAUCCUCCAAGGCUAAAUACUCCUGACUGACCGAUAGUGAACCAGUACCGUGAGGGAAAGGCGAAAAGAACCCCGGCGAGGGGAGUGAAAAAGAACCUGAAACCGUGUACGUACAAGCAGUGGGAGCCUCUUUAUGGGGUGACUGCGUACCUUUUGUAUAAUGGGUCAGCGACUUAUAUUCUGUAGCAAGGUUAACCGAAUAGGGGAGCCGAAGGGAAACCGAGUCUUAACUGGGCGUUAAGUUGCAGGGUAUAGACCCGAAACCCGGUGAUCUAGCCAUGGGCAGGUUGAAGGUUGGGUAACACUAACUGGAGGACCGAACCGACUAAUGUUGAAAAAUUAGCGGAUGACUUGUGGCUGGGGGUGAAAGGCCAAUCAAACCGGGAGAUAGCUGGUUCUCCCCGAAAGCUAUUUAGGUAGCGCCUCGUGAAUUCAUCUCCGGGGGUAGAGCACUGUUUCGGCAAGGGGGUCAUCCCGACUUACCAACCCGAUGCAAACUGCGAAUACCGGAGAAUGUUAUCACGGGAGACACACGGCGGGUGCUAACGUCCGUCGUGAAGAGGGAAACAACCCAGACCGCCAGCUAAGGUCCCAAAGUCAUGGUUAAGUGGGAAACGAUGUGGGAAGGCCCAGACAGCCAGGAUGUUGGCUUAGAAGCAGCCAUCAUUUAAAGAAAGCGUAAUAGCUCACUGGUCGAGUCGGCCUGCGCGGAAGAUGUAACGGGGCUAAACCAUGCACCGAAGCUGCGGCAGCGACGCUUAUGCGUUGUUGGGUAGGGGAGCGUUCUGUAAGCCUGCGAAGGUGUACUGUGAGGUAUGCUGGAGGUAUCAGAAGUGCGAAUGCUGACAUAAGUAACGAUAAAGCGGGUGAAAAGCCCGCUCGCCGGAAGACCAAGGGUUCCUGUCCAACGUUAAUCGGGGCAGGGUGAGUCGACCCCUAAGGCGAGGCCGAAAGGCGUAGUCGAUGGGAAACAGGUUAAUAUUCCUGUACUUGGUGUUACUGCGAAGGGGGGACGGAGAAGGCUAUGUUGGCCGGGCGACGGUUGUCCCGGUUUAAGCGUGUAGGCUGGUUUUCCAGGCAAAUCCGGAAAAUCAAGGCUGAGGCGUGAUGACGAGGCACUACGGUGCUGAAGCAACAAAUGCCCUGCUUCCAGGAAAAGCCUCUAAGCAUCAGGUAACAUCAAAUCGUACCCCAAACCGACACAGGUGGUCAGGUAGAGAAUACCAAGGCGCUUGAGAGAACUCGGGUGAAGGAACUAGGCAAAAUGGUGCCGUAACUUCGGGAGAAGGCACGCUGAUA